AAACAAGAACAAGAUGCAUAUGCAACCACGAAUAAUACAACAAACAACACACCUAACAAAAAAUGACGCUAAUUUCUUCGCUCUGUUCCUUCCCUUCAAUUCACUCUUCUUCUUCUACCUUUCCAAAUUCUGCAUUAACAUUCUCAAAUUACAACACCAGAACUCCAAUCCAAUCCUCACCUUCUUCCACAAACAUUUGCACCCAAAAAAUCGACACAUCUUUGAUCACCAUCGCCGAAUCUUUCUACGAUGAUGAACUCUGGGCAGCUUCUUCCCUCCGUGUUCGUUCCUUCAAUCAAUUCCGUCCCGGAACUUACGGAGUCCAAGAUCAUGUGAAGUACUUGGCUGAACGUGAGUUUGAAGCAUUGAAAGAGCGCAUUUCAGGGAAGAGGGUGGGUUUUAGAAGAGUCUCUUGCAUAAAUGCUUCUCUUCCUGUGUCUCAUAUAUCUAACAUCUAUGAUGAUUUAUGUUCUUCAUGUAAGUUUUCUACUUAUGGAGAAGACAGGAUAGUAGUUGGUUCUCUCGAUCUUAAUCAGUGCUUGAGUCUUCCGGAUGAAAUUGUAGGAAUGAAGCCAGAGGUUAGCGGAGCUGAUACGACAAGGGCUUACCUGAGUAAUGUGUGUGUUGCUAGAGAGUUGCAUAGGAAUGGAUUGGCCUAUGAACUUCUUGAAAAGUCGAAGUUAGUUGCUCGUAAUUGGGGCAUAACAGAUUUAUACGUCCAUGUUGCCGACGACAAUGAACCAGCAAAGAAAUUGUACAUGAAGAGUGGGUUUGUUUACGAGAGUGAUGAACCUGCAUGGCAGGCCAGGUUUCUUGAUCGACCGCGAAGACUUCUGCUAUGGAUGGGUCUUUCAAUCUCCUAACUUGACGGUGUUGUCGGGUAUCCUGCGUUAAUAUGGUCUAUUCUUUUUAAGUUAUUUUCAGAACAUUCCCUCAUUGCCUCAUUACUUUCCUUCCUUUCAUUUCUAAGCCGUAAAUAAAUCGGGCGGCUGACAAUCAAAGAUCCAUUGUAAGAAAAGAAUCAUGAAACAUAUGAUUUUCAUUUCUUAAUUCAAACUCUUAUGAAUACUAAUAUCCUCAAUUGAGCAACCAUUCACCAAAACCUGAAAGACUGCCAGAAAAGACACAUGCACAUAUGCAACCCCUCCACUUAUCAUCAAAACCAAAUCUCCUCAAGUGAUGAAAGGACUUUGGGAGGAAUUGGCUGAAUUUCGUUCAAUUCAUAAUUGCGUUCAUGUUGGAGUUAACCCUUUGGUUGAUCAUAUCAAUCGUGAAUAUGUAUUGACUUUAUUGCUAGGUACAAAUGAAAGUUCAACCAGUGUGGUGCUAUAGGGAAUAAUAAGGAUAAAUGCUUCAAACUCCAUAGUUAUCCACCAGAAUACAAGAAAGGAAAGACGUUUACAUAUUAGUGUGUUACUGCUGUUACUAUGUAUAUUGAUUCAGUUGACACUCCAUUAAACACAAAGCAAUAUCAA
This is an RNA transcript of Lathyrus oleraceus (garden pea), 1475 nucleotides long. RefSeq lists it as uncharacterized. The record is from RefSeq and is a predicted model, not a curated record. NCBI's taxonomy places the organism in Eukaryota, Viridiplantae, Streptophyta, Magnoliopsida, Fabales, Fabaceae. The transcript is spliced from 6 exons.